This 512-nucleotide ribosomal RNA is filed under the name uncultured bacterium. RNAcentral describes it as "partial 16S ribosomal RNA". It matches the Rfam family "Bacterial small subunit ribosomal RNA", at positions 28 to 523 of the family's 1533-position model. The record is from RNAcentral.
GACGAACGCUGGCGGCGUGCCUAAUACAUGCAAGUCGAGCGGACAGAAGGGAGCUUGCUCCCAGAUGUUAGCGGCGGACGGGUGAGUAACACGUGGGUAACCUGCCUGUAAGACUGGGAUAACUCCGGGAAACCGGAGCUAAUACCGGAUAGUUCCUUGAACCGCAUGGUUCAAGGAUGAAAGACGGUUUCGGCUGUCACUCACAGAUGGACCCGCGGCGCAUUAGCUAGUUGGUGAGGUAACGGCUCACCAAGGCGACGAUGCGUAGCCGACCUGAGAGGGUGAUCGGCCACACUGGGACUGAGACACGGCCCAGACUCCUACGGGAGGCAGCAGUAGGGAAUCUUCCGCAAUGGACGAAAGUCUGACGGAGCAACGCCGCGUGAGUGAUGAAGGUUUUCGGAUCGUAAAGCUCUGUUGUUAGGGAAGAACAAGUGCAAGAGUAACUGCUUGCACCUUGACGGUACCUAACCAGAAAGCCACGGCUAACUACGUGCCAGCCGCCGCAGUAA